Molecule: ribosomal RNA, 467 nt
Filed under: uncultured bacterium
Lineage: Bacteria
Description: partial 16S ribosomal RNA
Rfam family: Bacterial small subunit ribosomal RNA
Source: RNAcentral
ACGAACGCUGGCGGCGUGCUUAACCCAUGCAAGUCGAACGGAAAGGCCCUGCUUUUGUGGGGUGCUCGAGUGGCGAACGGGUGAGUAACACGUGAGUAACCUGCCCUUGACUUUGGGAUAACUUCAGGAAACUGGGGCUAAUACCGGAUAGGAGCUCCUGCUGCAUGGUGGGGGUUGGAAAGUUUCGGCGGUUGGGGAUGGACUCGCGGCUUAUCAGCUUGUUGGUGGGGUAGUGGCUUACCAAGGCUUUGACGGGUAGCCGGCCUGAGAGGGUGACCGGCCACAUUGGGACUGAGAUACGGCCCAGACUCCUACGGGAGGCAGCAGUGGGGAAUAUUGCACAAUGGGCGGAAGCCUGAUGCAGCAACGCCGCGUGCGGGAUGACGGCCUUCGGGUUGUAAACCGCUUUCACCUGUGACGAAGCGUGAGUGACGGUAAUGGGUAAAGAAGCACCGGCUAACUACGUG